Molecule: ribosomal RNA, 293 nt
Filed under: uncultured bacterium
Lineage: Bacteria
Description: partial 16S ribosomal RNA
Rfam family: Archaeal small subunit ribosomal RNA
Source: RNAcentral
GUGCCAGCAGCCGCGGUAAUACCGGCAGCCCGAGUGAUGGCCGAUCUUAUUGGGCCUAAAGCGUCCGUAGCCAGCCGAACAAGUCCGUUGGGAAAUCCACCCGCCUAACGGGUGGGCGUCCAGCGGAAACUGUCCGGCUUGGAACCGGAAGGCUCAGAGAGUACGUCCGGGGUAGGAGUGAAAUCCCGUAAUCCCGGACGGACUACCGAUGGCGAAAGCACUCUGAGAAGACGGCUUCGACAGUGAGGGACGAAAGCCAGGGUCUCGAACCGGAUUAGAAACCCGAGUAGUCC